Molecule: ribosomal RNA, 664 nt
Filed under: uncultured archaeon
Lineage: Archaea
Description: bacterial SSU rRNA
Rfam family: Archaeal small subunit ribosomal RNA
Source: RNAcentral
CCGACGGUGAGGGAUGAAAGCUGGGGGAGCAAACCGGAUUAGAUACCCGGGUAGUCCCAGCUGUAAACUAUGCAAACUCAGUGAUGCAUUGGCUUGUGGCCAAUGCAGUGCUGCAGGGAAGCCGUUAAGUUUGCCGCCUGGGAAGUACGUACGCAAGUAUGAAACUUAAAGGAAUUGGCGGGGGAGCACUGCAACGGGAGGAGCGUGCGGUUUAAUUGGAGUCAACGCCAGAAAUCUUACCCGGAGAGACAGCAGAAUGAAGGUCAAGCUGAAGACUUUACCAGACAAGCUGAGAGGUGGUGCAUGGCCGUCGCCAGCUCGUGCCGUGAGAUGUCCUGUUAAGUCAGGUAACGAGCGAGAUCCCUGCCCUUAGUUGCCACUAUUACUCUCAGGAGUAGUGGGGCGAAUUAGCGGGACCGCCGCAGUUAAUGCGGAGGAAGGAAGGGGCCACGGCAGGUCAGUAUGCCCCGAAACUCUGGGGCCACACGCGGGCUGCAAUGGUAACGACAAUUGGUUUCGAAUCCGAAAGGAUGAGGUAAUCCUCAAACGUUACCACAGUUAUGACUGAGGGCUGCAACUCGCCCUCACGAAUAUGGAAUCCCUAGUAACUGCGUGUCAUUAUCGCGCGGUGAAUACGUCCCUGCUCCUUGCACACACCGCCCGU